Molecule: ribosomal RNA, 897 nt
Filed under: Hypomyces rosellus
Lineage: Eukaryota; Fungi; Ascomycota; Sordariomycetes; Hypocreales; Hypocreaceae
Description: LSU rRNA
Rfam family: Eukaryotic large subunit ribosomal RNA
Source: RNAcentral
AGCAUAUCAAUAAGCGGAGGAAAAGAAACCAACAGGGAUUGCCCCAGUAACGGCGAGUGAAGCGGCAACAGCUCAAAUUUGAAAUCUGGCCCCUCGGGCCCGAGUUGUAAUUUGUAGAGGAUGCUUUUGGCAAGGUGCCGCCCGAGUUCCCUGGAACGGGACGCCGCAGAGGGUGAGAGCCCCGUCUGGCUGGCCACCGAGCCUCUGUAAAGCUCCUUCGACGAGUCGAGUAGUUUGGGAAUGCUGCUCAAAAUGGGAGGUAUAUGUCUUCUAAAGCUAAAUAUUGGCCAGAGACCGAUAGCGCACAAGUAGAGUGAUCGAAAGAUGAAAAGCACUUUGAAAAGAGGGUUAAACAGUACGUGAAAUUGUUGAAAGGGAAGCGCUCAUGACCAGACUUGGGCUUGGCGAAUCAUCCGGCGUUCUCGCCGGUGCACUUCGCCUCGCUCAGGCCAGCAUCAGUUCGCGCCGGGGGACAAAAGUUUCGGGAAUGUGGCUCCUCCGGGAGUGUUAUAGCCCGUUGCAUAAUACCCUGGUGCGGACUGAGGUUCGCGCAUCUGCAAGGAUGCUGGCGUAAUGGUCAUCAGCGACCCGUCUUGAAACACGGACCAAGGAGUCGUCUUCGUAUGCGAGUGUUCGGGUGUCAAACCCCUACGCGUAAUGAAAGUGAACGCAGGUGAGAGCUUCGGCGCAUCAUCGACCGAUCCUGAUGUUCUCGGAUGGAUUUGAGUAAGAGCAUACGGGGCCGGACCCGAAAGAAGGUGAACUAUGCCUGUAUAGGGUGAAGCCAGAGGAAACUCUGGUGGAGGCUCGCAGCGGUUCUGACGUGCAAAUCGAUCGUCAAAUAUGGGCAUGGGGGCGAAAGACUAAUCGAACCUUCUAGUAGCUGGUUUCCGCCGA